GACGAACCGAGCGAACGUUGUUCGGAAUCACUGGGCUUAAAGGGCGCGUAGGCGGGUGUUCAAGUCCGUGGUGAAAUCCUCCGGCUCAACCGGAGAACUGCCUCGGAUACUGGAUGUCUCGAGGGUGGCAGGGGUAUGCGGAACUAUCGGUGGAGCGGUGAAAUGCGUUGAUAUCGAUAGGAACUCCGGUGGCGAAGGCGGCAUACUGGUCCACUUCUGACGCUGAGGCGCGAAAGCCAGGGGAGCAAACGGG
RNAcentral lists this ribosomal RNA (253 nucleotides) under uncultured bacterium. RNAcentral's name for it is "partial 16S ribosomal RNA". It matches the Rfam family "Bacterial small subunit ribosomal RNA", at positions 524 to 776 of the family's 1533-position model. The record is from RNAcentral.